GAAAACCUGGAAGCAGAGUCACACAUAAUUCAGUAUGAUUCAGCCCACUGAGCCACUCUCCACAGGAAGUAUAAAUAGAGCACAGAAGCUCUGAAAUGGAUUUUAACCACAGAGCCAGAGGAAAUUCUCAAAAGAUCUAUUAUCUUGGUGAUAAGUUCCUCAAGUGGAGCUGGGUCCACAGCUGCCAUUCAAGAGGAAACUGCAGUUUAUAUCAGCAAGUUAUGUGUUUCCUAACAUGCUGCCCAUGUCAUUCUAGCCCCAGUGCCCAUUCAGCAUCAGCCACCAUCAUAAGGGUCUCCAUUGCAGCUUGGGCUUGACUCUUAUAGCUCAUGCAUUGCCUUUUCAGAGGAAGCCAACAAGGAUUAUGACUGUACCACACAUUUCUUGGCCUUCUUGUGGAAAUCUUCACAUCGUUCCAUGACUUCAUAAUCCUCACACUCUGCAUGCCUGCAAAAUCAGCCCCAUGAGGAUGAUGGGCCUCACAGCUUGUCUUUUGUUUUCACUAACCUGGAACUGCUGAGACUUUGGGAACUCUGAGAGAUGGACUGAAUGCAUUUUGCCUUAUGAGAUGAGCAUGAGCCUUUGGCAGCCAGAGGUGGAAUAGUCUGAUAUACAUAUGAAGUGCUCCCCCUAAGACUUGUAUUUAAGGCUUGAUCCACAAUACAGCAAUAUUCAGAGAUUGGCCCUAAAGAUUUGAUUAAAUCAUGGGGGCUUGGAUGUCAUCAUGGAUUUAUCCAUUGAUGGGUUUAUAAUUGAAUAUACUAUUGGAAAGUGGUGGGAAAUAGAGGAGCUGUGAGAGAGAUGGCUGAUACCUCCGUCUAUAUCCAUGAGAACAUCACGUGGCUCAACCAUCUCGCUGAUCUAACAGGACCAACCUGCGAGGCUUUUUUCUACCUCUGCCAUUUAAAAGCCUCCUCUCCGAUUCCCCGUAUCAGUAAAGAUGGAUAUCAGCAACAACAACUGAGUAGUAAAAAUAAUCUCAACGGAAACUGGAUGUAAGACAGUGGUGAGAGUGUGAAGAUGACAGGAGCGGGUACUCCAGAAACUGCAUCCUGAGAAGCCUUCUGCCAUUCGGGGGUAACUGGAUUCCUCAGAAAGGAAGCUAACUGAAAGGACAAGGUUGCCAUUUUACUUUUAGCACAGAAAUUGGCUCGAGGCUGGCGCUCUUAUCAUUAAUCCAGCCCCAGGUGCCCACCAACGUGUGCCUGGACUGCAUGGAAGAAGUUUGGGACCCUGAUGUCCAAACUCGGUCUGUAACUAAGUACUUCUACUUAGAGCGACACAAACGUGACCCUUUACCAUCAGAAUCCGUCGACUCUGU
RNAcentral lists this long non-coding RNA (1321 nucleotides) under Heterocephalus glaber (naked mole-rat). RNAcentral's name for it is "lncRNA (ENSHGLG00000041883.1)". Lineage: Eukaryota; Metazoa; Chordata; Mammalia; Rodentia; Bathyergidae. The record is from RNAcentral.